Long non-coding RNA from Brienomyrus brachyistius, 951 nucleotides. RefSeq lists it as uncharacterized. The transcript has 2 exons. The record is from RefSeq and is a predicted model, not a curated record. NCBI's taxonomy places the organism in Eukaryota, Metazoa, Chordata, Actinopteri, Osteoglossiformes, Mormyridae.
UUUUUAUUCAACUUUGGAGCUCAUUUUCUCAAAACUUUGUUUUUGUGGGAUAGCCCACUUUACCUCUCAAUGGCACAUAUUGGGGAAUAUAGCUAUUUGGCUUUUAAUGAUUACUUUUAAGACUUCGAUCACUAAACAUGAUUCCAACAGUGUCCGAGUCAGCUAAAUACCCUGAAUGGAAAAAGGCGUGUCCUUCCUUUUAUACAAGGUUGAUCCUUCCUUCCUAUUAAUCACACAGAUAUAAAACUCCACCCAGUAAGUGUGGGAUGUCGCCUUUUCCCUUUCACUAAUGAUAGUGUAGCCAUCAUUCAGGAGGGAGGCCCAGACAGAGUCCUCAACGCUGCUGGGAAACGGCCAGAGGAAAUCCUGGUGCAGCCUCUUGAUGGCCCUUACGAAGUCAUCUAGACGGGCCGCCCGACUUCGCUCCCUGCGCAGCCAGCCGAUCAGCUCGAAGCCCAAAUGAGUGGAGAAACAGCCCAGGUCCUUCAAGCGCGCGUCCUCCAGGAGGCGCCGUGCACGUCGCUCCAGGAUCACGGUGAUGUACACGGUCUCCGUGCUCCCGCAGUCUUUGCUGGGUCUGCGUGCCAAAAGGAGAACGAUGACGCAGGGAAGCUCCUGGUCGCCUGGAGCCGUGACACAGCUUCCCAAACACCACGGGGCAUCGACGGGUGUCCCUCACUGUGCCUGGCGAGCCCCUCUUCCCGCACUGGGCUGUCAUAGCCAGCGAUGGCCUCUCUGCACUGCGGCAUGGACAACAUACCUGUCGGAAGGGAUUCUGGGGGUUUUCUGUGGAGUGACCACUCCUGGGGGGACACUGUCAGCCGAAUGAGACGCAUUACUGUGUCGCCGCCGGAAAAACUCCAUGCCCCCCGUCAGGCCGGCUUCCUGUUCACAAUGGAAACGUUUCAUAUUUUUAUAGACCCUAUUUUCUAGUAUAUAUGGUGGCUUCCU